Molecule: ribosomal RNA, 257 nt
Filed under: uncultured bacterium
Lineage: Bacteria
Description: partial 16S ribosomal RNA
Rfam family: Bacterial small subunit ribosomal RNA
Source: RNAcentral
GUCCACGCUGUAAACGAUGCGAACUAGCUAUUUGUGAUUAAUCAUGAGUGGCCAAGGGAAACCGAUAAGUUCGCCACCUGGGGAGUACGCCGGCAACGGUGAAACUCAAAGGAAUUGACGGGGUCCGCACAAGCGGUGGAGCAUGUGGUUUAAUUCGAUGAUACGCGAGGAACCUUACCUGGGCUAAAUCAUGUAUGAAUUAGUCAGAGAUGAUUGAGUCAGCAAUGACAUAUAUGAAGGUGCUGCAUGGCUGUCGU